RNAcentral lists this ribosomal RNA (494 nucleotides) under uncultured bacterium. RNAcentral describes it as "partial 16S ribosomal RNA". It matches the Rfam family "Bacterial small subunit ribosomal RNA", at positions 28 to 507 of the family's 1533-position model. The record is from RNAcentral.
GACGAACGCUGGCGGCGUGCUUAACACAUGCAAGUCGAACGGAAAGGCCUGCUUUCCCUUGUGGAUUGCGGGUACUCGAGUGGCGAACGGGUGAGUAACACGUGAGUGAUCUGCCCCCAACUUGGGUAUAAGCCUGGGAAACUGGGUCUAAUUCCCGAUAGGACUGCAGGGUGGUGCCUGUGGUGGAAAACGACUUUCUAGUGGUUGGGGAUGAGCUCGCGGCCUAUCAGCUUGUUGGUGGGGUAAUGGCCUACCAAGGCGGCGACGGGUAGCCGGCCUGAGAGGGUGGACGGCCACAUUGGGACUGAGAUACGGCCCAGACUCCUACGGGAGGCAGCAGUGGGGAAUAUUGCACAAUGGGCGGAAGCCUGAUGCAGCGACGCCGCGUGGGGGAUGACGGCCUUCGGGUUGUAAACUCCUUUCGACCGCGAGGAAGCCACCUGGUUGGAAGGGUGGUGACGGUAGUGGUAGAAGAAGCACCGGCUAACUACGUG